AGUCAAGUAAUUAAGUGCAUGUGGUGGAUGCCUUGGCAGUCAGAGGCGAUGAAAGACGUGAUAGCCUGCGAAAAGCUCCGGGGAGGCGGCAAAUAUCCUUUGAUCCGGAGAUGUCUGAAUGGGGGAACCCACCUACUUUAAGGUAGGUAUUGCAACAUGAAUACAUAGUGUUGCAAGGCGAACGAGGGGAAGUGAAACAUCUCAGUACCCUUAGGAAAAGAAAUCAAUUGAGAUUCCCUCAGUAGCGGCGAGCGAACGGGGAUCAGCCCAUUAAGUUAUGUGUGUUUUAGUGGAACGCUCUGGGAAGUGCGAACGUAGAGGGUGAUAUUCCCGUACACGAAAGGGCACACAUAAUGAUGACGAGUAGGGCGAGGCACGUGAAACCUUGUCUGAAUAUGGGGGGACCAUCCUCCAAGGCUAAAUACUCCUGACUGACCGAUAGUGAACCAGUACCGUGAGGGAAAGGCGAAAAGAACCCCUGUGAGGGGAGUGAAAUAGAUCCUGAAACCGCAUGCAUACAAGCAGUGGGAGCACCUUCGUGGUGUGACUGCGUACCUUUUGUAUAAUGGGUCAGCGACUUAUAUUCAGUAGCGAGGUUAACCGUAUAGGGGAGCCGUAGAGAAAUCGAGUCUUAAUAGGGCGUUUAGUUGCUGGGUAUAGACCCGAAACCAGGCGAUCUAUCCAUGAGCAGGUUGAAGGUUGGGUAACACUAACUGGAGGACCGAACCCACUGUCGUUGAAAAGCCAGGGGAUGACUUGUGGAUAGGGGUGAAAGGCUAAUCAAGCCUGGUGAUAGCUGGUUCUCCCCGAAAGCUAUUUAGGUAGCGCCUCGGACGAAUACCAUAGGGGGUAGAGCACUGUUUCGGCUAGGGGGUCAUCCCGACUUACCAAACCGAUGCAAACUCCGAAUACCUAUGAGUACUAUCCGGGAGACAGACUGCGGGUGCUAACGUCCGUAGUCAAGAGGAAAACAAUCCAGACCGCCAGCUAAGGCCCCAAAAUCAUAGUUAAGUGGGAAACGAUGUGGGAAGGCAUAGACAGCUAGGAGGUUGGCUUAGAAGCAGCCACCCUUUAAAGAAAGCGUAAUAGCUCACUAGUCGAGUCGGCCUGCGCGGAAGAUGUAACGGGGCUAAAACUAUGUGCCGAAGCUGCGGAUGUAUACUUUGUAUACGUGGUAGGGGAGCGUUCUGUAAGCCGAUGAAGGUGUGUUGAGAAGCAUGCUGGAGGUAUCAGAAGUGCGAAUGCUGACGUGAGUAACGACAAAACGGGUGAAAAACCCGUUCGCCGAAAGACCAAGGGUUCCAGUCCAACGUUAAUCGGGGCUGGGUGAGUCGACCCCUAAGGCGAGGCCGAAAGGCGUAGUCGAUGGGAAAAUGGUUAAUAUUCCAUUACUUCUGUGUAAUGCGAUGAGAGGACGGAGAAGGCUAAAUCAGCCUGGCGUUGGUUGUCCAGGUGAAAGGAUGUAGGCAUGUAUCUUAGGCAAAUCCGGGGUACUCUAUGCUGAGAUCUGAUAGCAAGCUGUACUUGUACAGCGAAGUGGUUGAUGCCAUGCUUCCAGGAAAAGUCUCUAAGCUUCAGUUACACAGGAAUCGUACCCGAAACCGACACAGGUGGUCAGGUCGAGUAGACCAAGGCGCUUGAGAGAACUCUGCUGAAGGAACUAGGCAAAAUGGUACCGUAACUUCGGGAGAAGGUACGCUGU
This 1702-nucleotide ribosomal RNA is filed under the name Acinetobacter baumannii. Its description in RNAcentral is "partial 23S ribosomal RNA". It matches the Rfam family "Bacterial large subunit ribosomal RNA", at positions 1 to 1754 of the family's 2925-position model. The record is from RNAcentral. Lineage: Bacteria; Pseudomonadati; Pseudomonadota; Gammaproteobacteria; Moraxellales; Moraxellaceae.